This 87-nucleotide non-coding RNA is filed under the name Cupriavidus basilensis. Lineage: Bacteria; Pseudomonadati; Pseudomonadota; Betaproteobacteria; Burkholderiales; Burkholderiaceae. The record is from RNAcentral.
UUCUAUGGCGGGCCGGGCGGGGCAGCCUUCGGGCUGACCGGAUGUAGUGACGCCGGUUUCCACCCCCGCUGCGGGUCCGCCACCCUC